UUUUGGUUAUUUAACAAUUUUGUUAAAUAUUAAAAUGGAAUUAGGUGUAAAUCCUAAACGGUCCGGCCACUGUAAGUAGGUAGUAUUCUUUUCAAACCACUGGGAAACUGGGAAGGGAAAAGAAAUGCGAUGACCUAUAAGUCAGGAGACAUGCCACAAUCUU
This 163-nucleotide non-coding RNA is filed under the name Massilibacterium senegalense. Lineage: Bacteria; Bacillati; Bacillota; Bacilli; Caryophanales; Bacillaceae. The record is from RNAcentral.